Molecule: ribosomal RNA, 1502 nt
Filed under: Campylobacter jejuni
Lineage: Bacteria; Pseudomonadati; Campylobacterota; Epsilonproteobacteria; Campylobacterales; Campylobacteraceae
Description: partial 23S ribosomal RNA
Rfam family: Bacterial large subunit ribosomal RNA
Source: RNAcentral
UAUGCGAAAAACAAAGCUUAGCUAGCAGUAUCCUGAGUAGGGCGGGACACGAGGAAUCCUGUCUGAAUCCGGGUCGACCACGAUCCAACCCUAAAUACUAAUACCAGAUCGAUAGUGCACAAGUACCGUGAGGGAAAGGUGAAAAGAACUGAGGUGAUCAGAGUGAAAUAGAACCUGAAACCAUUUGCUUACAAUCAUUCAGAGCACUAUGUAGCAAUACAGUGUGAUGGACUGCCUUUUGCAUAAUGAGCCUGCGAGUUGUGGUGUCUGGCAAGGUUAAGCAAACGCGAAGCCGUAGCGAAAGCGAGUCUGAAUAGGGCGCUUAGUCAGAUGCUGCAGACCCGAAACGAAGUGAUCUAUCCAUGAGCAAGUUGAAGCUAGUGUAAGAACUAGUGGAGGACUGAACCCAUAGGCGUUGAAAAGCCCCGGGAUGACUUGUGGAUAGGGGUGAAAGGCCAAUCAAACUUCGUGAUAGCUGGUUCUCUCCGAAAUAUAUUUAGGUAUAGCGUUGUGUCGUAAUAUAAGGGGGUAGAGCACUGAAUGGGCUAGGGCAUACACCAAUGUACCAAACCCUAUCAAACUCCGAAUACCUUAUAUGUAAUCACAGCAGUCAGGCGGCGAGUGAUAAAAUCCGUCGUCAAGAGGGAAACAACCCAGACUACCAGCUAAGGUCCCUAAAUCUUACUUAAGUGGAAAACGAUGUGAAGUUACUUAAACAACCAGGAGGUUGGCUUAGAAGCAGCCAUCCUUUAAAGAAAGCGUAAUAGCUCACUGGUCUAGUGAUUUUGCGCGGAAAAUAUAACGGGGCUAAAGUAAGUACCGAAGCUGUAGACUUGCGCACAACUUAGAUUAUUUAAGUUUAGAAUAUGAGAAACUAAGUUAUAUUUUUACUGAUUUUUAUAGAGUAAAGAUAGAAAUAAAACUUAGUAAAAUCAGUAAAAAUAUUCUUAGGCUAAAGUUAAGUAGUUUAAGUUGUGUGCAAGUGGUAGGAGAGCGUUCUAUUUGCGUCGAAGGUAUACCGGUAAGGAGUGCUGGAGCGAAUAGAAGUGAGCAUGCAGGCAUGAGUAGCGAUAAUUAAUGUGAGAAUCAUUAACGCCGUAAACCCAAGGUUUCCUACGCGAUGCUCGUCAUCGUAGGGUUAGUCGGGUCCUAAGUCGAGUCCGAAAGGGGUAGACGAUGGCAAAUUGGUUAAUAUUCCAAUACCAACAUUAGUGUGCGAUGGAAGGACGCUUAGGGCUAAGGGGGCUAGCGGAUGGAAGUGCUAGUCUAAGGUCGUAGGAGGUUAUACAGGCAAAUCCGUAUAACAAUACUCCGAGAACUGAAAGGCUUUUUGAAGUCUUCGGAUGGAUAGAAGAACCCCUGAUGCCGUCGAGCCAAGAAAAGUUUCUAAGUUUAGCUAAUGUUGCCCGUACCGUAAACCGACACAGGUGGGUGGGAUGAGUAUUCUAAGGCGCGUGGAAGAACUCUCUUUAAGGAACUCUGCAAAAUAGCACCGUAUCUUC